GUGAGUCAUCGAAUCUUUGAACGCACAUUGCGCCCCUUGGUAUUCCGACGGGCACGCCUGUGUGAACGUCAUUUAAACACUCGAGCCCGGCUCGGUGAUGGGGUUUGUUCUGACAAAGAGCAUCCGCCCGCAAGACAACGACGCCCGACGACGGCGGCUCGGAGUAGUGAAACACGUCUCUCGAGCCCCGUCUCCCCCGGGCGUACUCUCCCUUCAAAACUUGACUUCACAUCAGACGAGGUUACCCGCUGAACUUAAGCAUAUCAAUAAGCGGAGGA
Molecule: unclassified non-coding RNA, 278 nt
Filed under: Orbiliales sp.
Lineage: Eukaryota; Fungi; Ascomycota; Orbiliomycetes; Orbiliales
Description: partial contains 5.8S ribosomal RNA, internal transcribed spacer 2, and large subunit ribosomal RNA
Rfam family: Eukaryotic large subunit ribosomal RNA (bases 222-278)
Source: RNAcentral